UACGUAGGGGGCAAGCGUUGUCCGGAAUCAUUGGGCGUAAAGCGCGCGUAGGCGGCCCUGUAAGUCCGUUGUGAAAGUCGAAGGCUCAACCUUCGAAAGCCGAUGGAUACUGCAGGGCUAGAGUCCGGAAGAGGAGAGUGGAAUUCCUGGUGUAGCGGUGAAAUGCGCAGAUAUCAGGAGGAACACCGGUGGCGAAGGCGGCGUUCUGGACUGUUUCUGACACUGAAAAACGAAAGCCAGGGGAGCAAACGGG
Molecule: ribosomal RNA, 253 nt
Filed under: uncultured bacterium
Lineage: Bacteria
Description: partial 16S ribosomal RNA
Rfam family: Bacterial small subunit ribosomal RNA
Source: RNAcentral